UACGUAGGAGGCAAGCGUUGUCCGGAAUUACUGGGCGUAAAGCGCGUGUAGGCGGUUUGUCGCGUCUGCUGUGAAAAUCCGGGGCUCAACCCCGGACUUGCAGUGGGUACGGGCAGACUAGAGUGUGGUAGGGGAGACUGGAAUUCCUGGUGUAGCGGUGAAAUGCGCAGAUAUCAGGAGGAACACCGAUGGCGAAGGCAGGUCUCUGGGCCACUACUGACGCUGAGAAGCGAAAGCAUGGGGAGCGAACAGG
RNAcentral lists this ribosomal RNA (253 nucleotides) under uncultured bacterium. Its description in RNAcentral is "partial 16S ribosomal RNA". It matches the Rfam family "Bacterial small subunit ribosomal RNA", at positions 524 to 776 of the family's 1533-position model. The record is from RNAcentral.